CCUACGGGUGGCUGCAGUCGAGAAUCAUUCACAAUGGGGGAAACCCUGAUGGUGCGACGCCGCGUGGGGGAAUGAAGGUCUUCGGAUUGUAAACCCCUGUCAUGUGGGAGCAAAUUAAAAAGAUAGUACCACAAGAGGAAGAGACGGCUAACUCUGUGCCAGCAGCCGCGGUAAUACAGAGGUCUCAAGCGUUGUUCGGAAUCACUGGGCGUAAAGCGUGCGUAGGCUGUUUCGUAAGUCGUGUGUGAAAGGCGCGGGCUCAACCCGCGGACGGCACAUGAUACUGCGAGACUAGAGUAAGGGAGGGGGAACCGGAAUUCUCGGGGUAGCAGUGAAAUGCGUAGAUAUCGAGAGGAACACUCGUGGCGAAGGCGGGUUCCUGGACAUUAACUGACGCUGAGGCACGAAGGCCAGGGGAGCGAAAGGGAUUAGAUACCCGAGUAGUC
Molecule: ribosomal RNA, 446 nt
Filed under: uncultured bacterium
Lineage: Bacteria
Description: partial 16S ribosomal RNA
Rfam family: Bacterial small subunit ribosomal RNA
Source: RNAcentral